AUUGAACGCUGGCGGCAUGCUUUACACAUGCAAGUCGAACGGUAGAGGGGGCAACCCCUUGAGAGUGGCGAACGGGUGAGUAAUGCAUCGGUACGUGCCCAGUCGUGGGGGAUAGCCCGGGGAAACCCGGAUUAAUACCGCAUACGACCUGAGGGUGAAAGCGGGGGACCGAAAGGCCUCGCGCGAUUGGAGCGGCCGAUGUCGGAUUAGGGAGGUGGUGGGGUAAAGGCCUACCAAGCCUGCGAUCCGUAGCUGGUCUGAGAGGACGACAAGCCACACUGGGACUGAGACACGGCCCAGAGUCCUACGGGAGGCAGCAGUGGGGAAGUUUGGACAAUGGGCGCAAGCCUGAUCCAGCCAUGCCGCGUGCGGGAAGAAGGCCUUCGGGUUGUAAACCGCUUUUGUCAGGGAAGAAAUCCUUUGGACUAAUACUCUGGGGGGAUGACGGUACCUGAAGAAUAAGCACCGGCUAACUACGUGCCAGCCGCCGCCGUAA
This 496-nucleotide ribosomal RNA is filed under the name uncultured bacterium. RNAcentral's name for it is "partial 16S ribosomal RNA". It matches the Rfam family "Bacterial small subunit ribosomal RNA", at positions 29 to 523 of the family's 1533-position model. The record is from RNAcentral.